RNAcentral lists this ribosomal RNA (465 nucleotides) under uncultured bacterium. RNAcentral describes it as "bacterial SSU rRNA". It matches the Rfam family "Bacterial small subunit ribosomal RNA", at positions 339 to 796 of the family's 1533-position model. The record is from RNAcentral.
CUACGGGAGGCAGCAGUGGGGAAUAUUGGACAAUGGGCGAAAGCCUGAUCCAGCCAUGCCGCGUGGGUGAAGAAGGCCUUCGGGUUGUAAAGCCCUUUUGUUGGGAAAGAAAUCCUGUCGGUUAAUACCCGGCGGGGAUGACGGUACCCAAAGAAUAAGCACCGGCUAACUUCGUGCCAGCAGCCGCGGUAAUACGAAGGGUGCAAGCGUUACUCGGAAUUACUGGGCGUAAAGCGUGCGUAGGCGGUUCGUUAAGUCUGUCGUGAAAGCCCUGGGCUCAACCUGGGAAUUGCGAUGGAUACUGGCGGGCUAGAGUACGGUAGAGGAUGGUGGAAUUCCCGGUGUAGCGGUGAAAUGCGUAGAGAUCGGGAGGAACACCCGUGGCGAAGGCGGCCAUCUGGACCAGUACUGACGCUGAGGCACGAAAGCGUGGGGAGCAAACAGGAUUAGAUACCCUUGUAGUCC